UGAGUCAUCGAAUCUUUGAACGCACAUUGCGCCCUUUGGUAUUCCGAAGGGCAUGCCUGUUCGAGCGUCAUUAUCACCCCUCAAGCCCUCGGCUUGGUGUUGGACGGUUUGGUGGAGGCCCCCUCGGGGGCUCCUGCCCCUCCCAAAGACAAUGACGGCGGCCUCGUUGGACCCCCGGUACACUGAGUUCUUCACGGGACACGUAUCGGACACAUGGGUUUACGGGACACGGUCUGCCUCCCCUCAGGGAGAAUCUUUCUAAGGUUGACCUCGGAUCAGGUAGGGAUACCCGCUGAACUUAAGCAUAUCAAUAAGCGGAGGAAAAGAAACCAACAGGGAUUGCCUCAGUAACGGCGAGUGAAGCGGCAACAGCUCAAAUUUGAAAUCUGGCCUCUUUGGGGUCCGAGUUGUAAUUUGUAGAGGAUGUUUCGGGUACCGCCUCGGUUUAAAUUUCUUGGAACAGAAUGUCAAAGAGGGUGAGAAUCCCGUCUUGGACCGGCGGUAGGGCCCAUGUGAAACUCCUUCGACGAGUCGAGUUGUUUGGGAAUGCAGCUCAAAAUGGGUGGUAAAUUUCAUCUAAAGCUAAAUAUUGGCCAGAGACCGAUAGCGCACAAGUAGAGUGAUCGAAAGAUGAAAAGCACUUUGAAAAGAGAGUUAAACAGUAUGUGAAAUUGUUGAAAGGGAAGCGCUUACAACCAGACUUGCGCGCGGCGGUUCCCCCUUCCUUUUGGUUGGGCUACUCCGUCGUGUCCAGGCCAACAUCGGUUCUGGGGGUCGGUUAAAGACCCUGGGAAUGUAUCUACCCUUCGGGCGUAGACUUAUAGCUCAGGGUGUCAUGCGACCUCCCGGGACCGAGGAACGCGCUU
This 866-nucleotide ribosomal RNA is filed under the name uncultured Exophiala. RNAcentral's name for it is "eukaryotic LSU rRNA". The stretch from base 266 to 866 matches the Rfam family "Eukaryotic large subunit ribosomal RNA", at positions 1 to 609 of the family's 3401-position model. Lineage: Eukaryota; Fungi; Ascomycota; Eurotiomycetes; Chaetothyriales; Herpotrichiellaceae. The record is from RNAcentral.